RNAcentral lists this transfer RNA (70 nucleotides) under Longitarsus nigrocillus. RNAcentral's name for it is "tRNA-Lys". Lineage: Eukaryota; Metazoa; Arthropoda; Insecta; Coleoptera; Chrysomelidae. The record is from RNAcentral.
CAUUAGAUGGCCGAAAGUAAGCAAUGGAAUUUUAAACCAUACAAUAAUAUCGUUACGUAUAUUUCUUAUG